UCUGGGACAAGCCCUGGAAACGGGGUCUAAUACCGGAUAACACUCUGUCCCGCAUGGGACGGGGUUAAAAGCUCCGGCGGUGAAGGAUGAGCCCGCGGCCUAUCAGCUUGUUGGUGGGGUAAUGGCCUACCAAGGCGACGACGGGUAGCCGGCCUGAGAGGGCGACCGGCCACACUGGGACUGAGACACGGCCCAGACUCCUACGGGAGGCAGCAGUGGGGAAUAUUGCACAAUGGGCGAAAGCCUGAUGCAGCGACGCCGCGUGAGGGAUGACGGCCUUCGGGUUGUAAACCUCUUUCAGCAGGGAAGAAGCGAAAGUGACGGUACCUGCAGAAGAAGCGCCGGCUAACUACGUGCCAGCAGCCGCGGUAAUACGUAGGGCGCAAGCGUUGUCCGGAAUUAUUGGGCGUAAAGAGCUCGUAGGCGGCUUGUCACGUCGGAUGUGAAAGCCCGGGGCUUAACCCCGGGUCUGCAUUCGAUACGGGCUAGCUAGAGUGUGGUAGGGGAGAUCGGAAUUCCUGGUGUAGCGGUGAAAUGCGCAGAUAUCAGGAGGAACACCGGUGGCGAAGGCGGAUCUCUGGGCCAUUACUGACGCUGAGGAGCGAAAGCGUGGGGAGCGAACAGGAUUAGAUACCCUGGUAGUCCACGCCGUAAACGUUGGGAACUAGGUGUUGGCGACAUUCCACGUCGUCGGUGCCGCAGCUAACGCAUUAAGUUCCCCGCCUGG
This 727-nucleotide ribosomal RNA is filed under the name Streptomyces sp. Its description in RNAcentral is "bacterial SSU rRNA". It matches the Rfam family "Bacterial small subunit ribosomal RNA", at positions 137 to 876 of the family's 1533-position model. The record is from RNAcentral. Lineage: Bacteria; Bacillati; Actinomycetota; Actinomycetes; Kitasatosporales; Streptomycetaceae.